UUUAUUUUAUCCUUUCAUGAUAGCCAAGAGAAAACUUAGUAAUAUUGAGGGAAUUGGAUCCUCCAGCAGAGUCCAUUAAUAUACAAAAGAUACUCAAAAUUUCAUUCAUAUUGUAAUCGGAUGCAAUGUGUCUGGGUGCUAUCUUGGGAUACAUAUGUUUUAAUUAUCAUAAAAGGCCUAAACGGGAUUUCUUAGACAUGUGAAUUUUGUGAUACUUCAAGCACAAUUAUUUUGUCAGACUCUGAUCGAGCCCAAAUUGAAUUAUGAACCAGUUUUAUGCAGAUUAAUGUGUUGAAUUGAAACAAUGAAGUUCUAUCAAGCUUCAGUUUAAUUUUGUGAUCUCUACUGGAUAACAACUUAUUUUUAUUCAUUGUUUUUCUGUUGACUUGGGUGUUUCAGGAGCUAUAAAUCUACGAAUGUGCUGCUCCGGCAAAGUUUAUAGGGAUAUGGAUUGUCUACCUUUGUUUGAGAGAAUUCGGAAAAAUGUGAAGAAAUUUGGAAGGAAAAGAUGAUAGAUAUGAGGAAACGUAUGUGUUUUUCCCUCUCUAAGAAUUAACAACUAACAAGUGUUCUUUUUUCAAUGAUUAUAUAGCCACGGAAAUUAUAUGAAACAAAAGAGGCAUACAAAUGAUGUGUCGACAUGCUUUCUUUGCAUACUAGGGAGAUUCUAAUCAAUGAGAGGAAUUCCAUGUUCCCUGCAUUUCUCCUAGAGGUACCUUAGCAUGUGCCCGGGGGCAUCGGUUAACACAACCCAUUAGAAAAAAACAAUGUUUUAUAUUUACUGAAUAAUUAAUAUAUUUUAUCUAUAAAUGUGACUGAAUAUAUUAGUUAUUCUAUGAACUAAACAAAUAUUUUUUUCGCUUAUAAAUGUAAUAAGAGGGAUGAGUCAUAUUUUUAUUUUUUUUGAUAGAGAGGGAUGAGUGAUAUUAUAUGCGUUAAAUGUAUCAUCUUGAUGUUUUGUGGCUGAACAAUUCUUGUAUAAAGGAUCAGAGGGAGUAUUAACUUAAAUAGAUUUUUUAUUUACAAAAUUGUAUUUUGGAUAUCCAAAUUGUAUUGGUAACUUUGUUAGAAGCCAUACAAAUCGAACUAUAUAUAAACAUUUAAUUUUUUUUUUUUAGAUUAUUUUUUGUCUCUAAACUUAUUCGAAGGGACAAAAUUUUGGUACAUUUUUUUAUGUGUUUUUCGUAUAAUUUUUAAUUAUCCAUUCAAUUUCACUAGUGUUUGUGGCCUUGUGGGUAGGGUGGAAUUUCACCAAACUCAACAUCCAAAUCAAUGAAUUGUUCUAAGAGUAUCUUAUUCAACCCUCCUCAAGUUUCCUUUGUCCUACUGAAUUUUGGAUUAUAGAAUUUAAACAUUGUAAAACACGCACAAAAACUCU
RNAcentral lists this long non-coding RNA (1378 nucleotides) under Medicago truncatula (barrel medic). Its description in RNAcentral is "lncRNA gene20844". Lineage: Eukaryota; Viridiplantae; Streptophyta; Magnoliopsida; Fabales; Fabaceae. The record is from RNAcentral.